GAUAAUACAAUUCAAUCAUCAGUGAAAAACAAAACAAAAGAUUGAAACAUCGUAACUUAACACAGACAGAUAAUACAAUGCAAUCAUCGGUGACAAACAAAACAAAAGAUUGUAACUUCAAAUUUAGGUAAGGUCAUCCUCCUCCAAUUCCUUAGCCUUCAGCUUCUCUUUCACCCUUAAUAGAAGGGUUGUCUUCCAGGAAUCCAAUGGGGUCAUGCUGUCAAAUUCCUUGACAACAUCAGUAAACUUUGCAACAUCUUCCUCAUCAAUGGCAGCAGCGAUAUCCGCUAAGAGUCUGUAUUCUCUAGUUCCUGAAAAAGUUGGAUCCAGAUCCUGAUAUCGCUCUAAUGCAUUGGUUACAGCAACAACAUCGCCUUUGCAGAGGUGGCAAAUGCCAGCAUUCAGAAGAUGACCUUUGACACCAUACUUGAGCAAAUUAACGCCAAGUGAAUGUCGGGCAAUCUCUUCAUAAAUCUCAAUUGCCUUCUGGUAUUGUUCUAGUUGAGCAGCAAAUUGGGCUACUUUCUGCUUGCAUUGGUUAGCAGAAGUUGUUACUUCUUCACCUUGGAAGAAAUCAGCUGGCUUUUCAUAAAAGUCAAUAGCUUUCCUUUUCAUAAAAGUCAAUAGCUUUCUCAAUAUUUGCUUCUGAUUCAUAUAAUUCAGCAAUUUCCUUGUAAUAUCUUGCAGCCAUACUGAUUCUCCCUAUAUCACAAAACAACUCUACUGCUUGGACUAAGCAAGAUAUUGCCUCGUUCGUAGAUGUUUUCUUAUAACAGUGAGCAGC
RNAcentral lists this unclassified non-coding RNA (784 nucleotides) under Hevea brasiliensis (rubber tree). The record is from RNAcentral. Lineage: Eukaryota; Viridiplantae; Streptophyta; Magnoliopsida; Malpighiales; Euphorbiaceae.